GACGAACGCUGGCGGCGCGCUUAACACAUGCAAGUCGAACGGAAAGGCCCUGCUUUUGUGGGGUGCUCGAGUGGCGAACGGGUGAGUAACACGUGAGUAAACUGCCCUUGACUUUGGGAUAACUUCAGGAAACUGGGGCUAAUACCGGAUAGGAGCUCCUGCUGCAUGGUGGGGGUUGGAAAGUUUCGGCGGUUGGGGAUGGACUCGCGGCUUAUCAGCUUGUUGGUGGGGUAGUGGCUUACCAAGGCUUUGACGGGUAGCCGGCCUGAGAGGGUGACCGGCCACAUUGGGACUGAGAUACGGCCCAGACUCCUACGGGAGGCAGCAGUGGGGAAUAUUGCACAAUGGGCGGAAGCCUGAUGCAGCAACGCCGCGUGCGGGAUGACGGCCUUCGGGUUGUAAACCGCUUUCGCCUGUGACGAAGCGUGAGUGACGGUAAUGGGUAAAGAAGCACCGGCUAACUACGUG
Molecule: ribosomal RNA, 468 nt
Filed under: uncultured bacterium
Lineage: Bacteria
Description: partial 16S ribosomal RNA
Rfam family: Bacterial small subunit ribosomal RNA
Source: RNAcentral